Molecule: small nuclear RNA, 21 nt
Filed under: Arabidopsis thaliana (thale cress)
Lineage: Eukaryota; Viridiplantae; Streptophyta; Magnoliopsida; Brassicales; Brassicaceae
Description: snRNA_13621
Source: RNAcentral
AACCGGAAGCCGGGUUACGGU